GGGAAACGAUGUGGGAAGGCACAGACAGCCAGGAUGUUGGCUUAGAAGCAGCCAUCAUUUAAAGAAAGCGUAAUAGCUCACUGGUCGAGUCGGCCUGCGCGGAAGAUGUAACGGGGCUAAACCAUGCACCGAAGCUGCGGCAGCGACACUAUGUGUUGUUGGGGAGGGGAGCGUUCUGUAAGCCUGCGAAGGUGUGCUGUGAGGCAUGCUGGAGGUAUCAGAAGUGCGAAUGCUGACAUAAGUAACGAUAAAGCGGGUGAAAAGCCCGCUCGCCGGAAGACCAAGGGUUCCUGUCCAACGUUAAUCGGGGCAGGGUGAGUCGACCCCUAAGGCGAGGCCGAAAGGCGUAGUCGAUGGGAAACAGGUUAAUAUUCCUGUACUUGGUGUUACUGCGAAGGGGGGACGGAGAAGGCUAUGUUAGCCGGGCGACGGUUGUCCCGGUUUAAGCAUGUAGGCUGAUUGUCCAGGCAAAUCCGGAUAAUCAAGGCUGAGGUGUGAUGACGAGGCACUACGGUGCUGAAGUAACAAAUGCCCUGCUUCCAGGAAAAGCCUCUAAGCAUCAGGUAACAUUAAAUCGUACCCCAAACCGACACAGGUGGUCAGGUAGAGAAUACCAAGGCGCUUGAGAGAACUCGGGUGAAGGAACUAGGCAAAAUGGUGCCGUAACUUCGGGAGAAGGCACGCUGG
This 687-nucleotide ribosomal RNA is filed under the name Klebsiella pneumoniae. RNAcentral's name for it is "partial 23S ribosomal RNA". It matches the Rfam family "Bacterial large subunit ribosomal RNA", at positions 1065 to 1754 of the family's 2925-position model. Lineage: Bacteria; Pseudomonadati; Pseudomonadota; Gammaproteobacteria; Enterobacterales; Enterobacteriaceae. The record is from RNAcentral.